Molecule: ribosomal RNA, 315 nt
Filed under: Triticum aestivum (bread wheat)
Lineage: Eukaryota; Viridiplantae; Streptophyta; Magnoliopsida; Poales; Poaceae
Description: partial small subunit ribosomal RNA
Source: RNAcentral
AUGGAGAGGGUGACGAGGCUAUCGACGGAGAAGGCAGUGGUGAUCUUCACGCCGAGCAACGACUGCCCAAUGAGCUACACAGUGACGACCCUCUUCUCUGGCCUCGGCGUUUGCGCGGCCGUGCACGAGCUGGACAAGGACCCCCGGGGCCGUGACAUGGAGCGCGACCUCGCCCGUCGCCUGGGCCGCACGCCGGCCGUCCCGGCCGUCUUCAUCGGCGGCAAGCUCGUCGGUUCCACCGACAGGGUCAUGUCGCUGCACCUUGGUGGGAAGCUGGUGCCCAUGCUCAAGGCCGCCGGGGCGAUCUGGCUCUGA